RNAcentral lists this ribosomal RNA (433 nucleotides) under uncultured bacterium. Its description in RNAcentral is "partial 16S ribosomal RNA". It matches the Rfam family "Bacterial small subunit ribosomal RNA", at positions 37 to 507 of the family's 1533-position model. The record is from RNAcentral.
CCCUCCCUUUGUCGGCAUGCCUAACACAUGCAAGUCGAACGAGACCUUCGGGUCUAGUGGCGCACGGGUGCGUAACGCGUGGGAACCUGCCCUUAGGUUCGGAAUAACUCCCCGAAAGGGGUGCUAAUACCGGAUAAUGUCUUCGGACCAAAGAUUUAUCGCCUUUGGAUGGGCCCGCGUUGGAUUAGCUAGUUGGUAGGGUAAAAGCCUACCAAGGCGACGAUCCAUAGCUGGUCUGAGAGGAUGAUCAGCCACACUGGGACUGAGACACGGCCCAGACUCCUACGGGAGGCAGCAGUGGGGAAUAUUGGACAAUGGGCGAAAGCCUGAUCCAGCAAUGCCGCGUGAGUGAUGAAGGCCUUAGGGUUGUAAAGCUCUUUUACCCGGGAUGAUAAUGACAGUACCGGGAGAAUAAGCUCCGGCUAACUCCGUG